UACAGAGGUCUCAAGCGUUGUUCGGAUUCAUUGGGCGUAAAGGGCGCGUAGGCGGCGGGGUAAGUCGGGUGUGAAAUCUCAGGGCUCAACCCUGAAACUGCAUUCGAUACUGGCGUGCUUGAGGACUGGAGAGGAGACUGGAAUUCAUGGUGUAGCAGUGAAAUGCGUAGAGAUCAUGAGGAAGACCAGUGGCGAAGGCGGGUCUCUGGACAGUUCCUGACACUGAGACACGAAGGCCAGGGGAGCAAACGGG
Molecule: ribosomal RNA, 253 nt
Filed under: uncultured bacterium
Lineage: Bacteria
Description: partial 16S ribosomal RNA
Rfam family: Bacterial small subunit ribosomal RNA
Source: RNAcentral